RNAcentral lists this ribosomal RNA (429 nucleotides) under Chloroflexota bacterium. RNAcentral describes it as "Chloroflexi bacterium partial 16S ribosomal RNA". It matches the Rfam family "Bacterial small subunit ribosomal RNA", at positions 355 to 776 of the family's 1533-position model. The record is from RNAcentral. Lineage: Bacteria; Bacillati; Chloroflexota.
UGGGGAAUAUUGCACAAUGGGCGCAAGCCUGAUGCAGCCAUGCCGCGUGUGUGAAGAAGGCCUUCGGGUUGUAAAGCACUUUCAGCGGGGAGGAAGGCGAUAAGGUUAAUAACCUUGUCGAUUGACGUUACCCGCAGAAGAAGCACCGGCUAACUCCGUGCCAGCAGCCGCGGUAAUACGGAGGGUGCAAGCGUUAAUCGGAAUUACUGGGCGUAAAGCGCACGCAGGCGGUCUGUCAAGUCGGAUGUGAAAUCCCCGGGCUUAACCUGGGAACUGCAUUCGAAACUGGCAGGCUAGAGUCUUGUUGAGGGGGGUAGAAUUCCAGGUGUAGCGGUGAAAUGCGUAGAGAUCUGGAGGAAUACCGGUGGCGAAGGCGGCCCCCUGGACAAAGACUGACGCUCAGGUGCGAAAGCGUGGGGAGCAAACAGG